This 497-nucleotide ribosomal RNA is filed under the name uncultured bacterium. Its description in RNAcentral is "partial 16S ribosomal RNA". It matches the Rfam family "Bacterial small subunit ribosomal RNA", at positions 28 to 507 of the family's 1533-position model. The record is from RNAcentral.
GAUGAACGCUGGCGGCGUGCCUAAUACAUGCAAGUCGAGCGAACAGACGAGAAGCUUGCUUUUCUGAUGUUAGCGGCGGACGGGUGAGUAACACGUGGAUAACCUACCUAUAAGACUGGGAUAACUUCGGGAAACCGGAGCUAAUACCGGAUAAUAUUUUGAACCGCAUGGUUCAAAAGUGAAAGACGGUCUUGCUGUCACUUAUAGAUGGAUCCGCGCUGCAUUAGCUAGUUGGUAAGGUAACGGCUUACCAAGGCAACGAUGCAUAGCCGACCUGAGAGGGUGAUCGGCCACACUGGAACUGAGACACGGUCCAGACUCCUACGGGAGGCAGCAGUAGGGAAUCUUCCGCAAUGGGCGAAAGCCUGACGGAGCAACGCCGCGUGAGUGAUGAAGGUCUUCGGAUCGUAAAACUCUGUUAUUAGGGAAGAACAAAUGUGUAAGUAACUGUGCACAUCUUGACGGUACCUAAUCAGAAAGCCACGGCUAACUACGUG